Molecule: ribosomal RNA, 403 nt
Filed under: uncultured bacterium
Lineage: Bacteria
Description: partial 16S ribosomal RNA
Rfam family: Bacterial small subunit ribosomal RNA
Source: RNAcentral
AACGAACGCUGGCGGCGUGCCUAAUACAUGCAAGUCGAACGCAGUGGGGACGGGUGAUUAACACGUGGGUAACCUCCCAUCAGAGGGGAUAACACUUGGAAACAGGUGCUAAACCGAUAUUGGUGGAUGGACCCGCGGUGGAUUAGCCAGUUGGUGGGGUAACGGCUCACCAAGGCCACGAUGCAUAGCCGGUCUGAGAGGAUGAUCAGCCACACUGGGACUGAGACACGGCCCAGACUCCUACGGGAGGCAGCAGUAGGGAAUCUUCGGCAAUGGACGAAAGUCUGACCGAGCAACGCCGCGUGAGUGAAGAAGGUUUUCGGGUCGUAAAACUCUGUUGUUAGGGAAGCGUUACCUACCCAGAAAGCACCGGCUAACUACGUGCCAGCAGCCGCGGUAAUAC